Molecule: ribosomal RNA, 645 nt
Filed under: Triticum aestivum (bread wheat)
Lineage: Eukaryota; Viridiplantae; Streptophyta; Magnoliopsida; Poales; Poaceae
Description: partial small subunit ribosomal RNA
Source: RNAcentral
AUGGCGGCUGCCAUGAGCUACGUGCAUGCCGACGUGGAGAACCUCAAGGCGACGGAGCUGAGGCUCGGCCUGCCGGGCGUCGAGGAGAGCGACAAGAUGCCGUCGCCGCCGUCCACUCCCAGGGCCGGCACCAAGCGCGCGCUCGCCGGGGAGCACCGCGAGGAGGAGCCCAAGGCCGCGCCCCCGGCCGCCAAGGCGCAGGUGGUUGGGUGGCCGCCCGUGAGGUCCUACAGGAAGAGCUGCUUCCAGCAGGCGAGCAGCAAGGCCAAGGCGGCCGCACCGGCACCUGUGGUAGUGAAGCAGGAGGAGACGGCCGUUGCCGCGGCGCCGCCCGCCGCCGCUGCCGCGGGAGGAUCACUGUACGUGAAGGUGAGCAUGGACGGAGCCCCUUACCUGAGGAAGAUCGACCUCAAGAUGUACAAGGGCUACCGCGAGCUCAGGGAGGCCCUGGAGGCCAUGUUCCUCGGCUUCUCCGGCGACGCAGGCAGUGUGAACCCGUCGGACUUCGCCGUGACCUACGAGGACAAGGACGGCGACCUCAUGCUCGUUGGCGACGUGCCCUUCGGGAUGUUCAUGAGCACUUGCAAGAGGAUGAGGAUCAUGAAGGGAUCCGAAGCAAGAGGCCUAGGAUCAUCAAAGGAGUGA